This is a long non-coding RNA of Linepithema humile (Argentine ant), 324 nucleotides long. RefSeq lists it as uncharacterized. NCBI's taxonomy places the organism in Eukaryota, Metazoa, Arthropoda, Insecta, Hymenoptera, Formicidae. The record is from RefSeq and is a predicted model, not a curated record.
AGGUAACCUUCUCUCUAUAGAUCUUGGGUAUCAAUAUCGUUAUGUUAUCGUUGCGCAGAUAGAUCGUAAAAAAGAUUUUUUGAAAAAUGAACGUAACGGAGAAGCAGAAACAACUUCUUGUUAAUUUUAUGCGGUCUUAUCCUGAUUUUGGAAAAGGUAGAUUGCGGUAUAACCGCGAAAAUAAAAAAAAAUUAGACGAAUUAUGGGAAGAAUUAGCAACAAUUCUCAAUUGUGCAGGUUGCGGUCCUCAAAAAUUGCCAAUAAAAGCAUCAUCCUCUUCAUCAAGUAAUAAAAUAGCAGCCAUGUACAUAGCCAUUUUUCGAG